This 1758-nucleotide long non-coding RNA is filed under the name Zostera marina. RNAcentral's name for it is "long non-coding RNA (ZMAR_LNC003699)". The record is from RNAcentral. Lineage: Eukaryota; Viridiplantae; Streptophyta; Magnoliopsida; Alismatales; Zosteraceae.
UCAAAAUUACAAAGAUAAUGAAUGAAAAUUUUACAGGUUCCUAAUUAAAAUUAAUACGGCGACGCAAGCGGCGAGGGACCUGACCUAGCGGGGAAGCACCGCGGCGGGGACGCCUCCGACGUCGCCCACGUGGAGGAAUAACAGAAGAAGAGGCAGGCGGAAGAUCGCCACCAGACCAUUCUUCAAAAAUGGACUCCCUGGCAGCAACAGCAACACUCUGCCGCUCAACAAUAAGUUGGCGCAGAGAAGGAAGAUCCAAGGUCGACGACCGAGGAUCCAGAAUAUUCAAAAUCCGAUCCAGCUCCUCAAUCUCCCCCUGAAUAAAAUCAGCAAAAAGACUCACAAGAAGAGCCAUGGAUGGAUGAAGGAAAAGGAGAACCUAGGGGUCCUAUUUAUAGACCCUAGGACAGCACAAAAGGACAAAAUGGCAAAGUCGACUUUUUACACAAGGGAUCGACUUUUGACCAAAAGCACCAGGAAUCGACUUUUUGACAAAAGUCGACCAAACUCAACAAGGGAUCGACAUUUAGCAAAAGUCGAGGAAAUUCAACAGGGGAUCGACAUUUAACAAAAGUCGACCAAAACCAACAAGGGAUCGACUUUUUCUCCCACAUAAAAGGGGUGCAGAAAAAAGAACCCAGACAAGUUGGAGUUGCAGAGGCACACCAAGACAGGAGGGUGUAACAUGAAAUGCUCCUGAGGAAUCGUGGAAGUCCACAACUCGGACGGGGAUACGGCAGCAAAAUGAGCUGAGCCAUAUAAAGAUAUUUGAACUCCUACUAUUACUGGACGCAGUAACAAAGUAGGACGCCAAAUUAACUCUACCUGCGGAAGAACGCGGAUAGAGAAAGUCUUAAUGGUAACAGAGUCAGGAUGCGUGUCCCAUCCAAAGCAAAGAGUGAACCUCACCUACGGAAACGUAGUGUUAGACGAGGGACAUACUCAAAAGUGAACCCCACCUACGGAAGAACGUAGGUUAGACGGGGAACACAUCGACAAAAGUGAACCCCACCUACGGAAGAACGUAGGUUAGAUGGGGAACACAUCGGCAAAAGUGAACCCCACCUACGGAAGAACGUAGGUUAGACGGGGGACACGUCGGCUAAACACACACCUCAUUCUACAAAAAUGUAGACAGAGGGGCAAGUGUCCAAGAGUAAACCUCACCUACGGAAGAACGUAGGUUAGACGAGGGACGUACUCAAGAGUAAACCUCACCUACGGAAGAACGUAGGUUAGACGAGGGACGUACUCAAGAUAAGUCCUCACCCACGGAUGAACGGGGGUAGACGAGGAAGCACAAUCAGCCCCUAUCACGGAAAGGCGAAAAAAAGGAGGGGGCAAGUAUUCAAGUAAUAUUCCUCACCCACGGAUGAACGCGGGUAGACGAGGAAGCACAAUCAGCCCCUAUCGCAGAAAGUCGGAAAAAAGGAGGGGGCAAGUAUUCAAUUAACAGUCCUCACCCACGGAUGAACGUGGGUAGACGAGGAAGUACACUCAGCCCCUAUCGCAGAAAGGCGGAAAAAAGGAGGGGGUCGGGUACUCUCAAAACCCGCCACAGGGAAGAGAACCCAAGCAGUGCUCAAGGACAGCUCAGGCAAGGCGUCAAGGUGGGCAAGCAGGGUUCCGCGGAAGAAUCGGGCCGGACAGGUGUGCAAGGAGUAGGCUUCGGCUAGGACAAACCGGACAAUAGUUGGCAAAAGCGCGUGACAACCUCCGUGGAAGCAUAGAUACAACCUCGCAGGCGUGGAAGGGGGG